CGGGAGAGGGGAGCGGCACGGCCCGGCCCGGCCCGGCUCGGCUCGGCUCGGCUCGGCUCGGCCGGGCACGGCACGGCCCGGCUCGGCUCGGCUCGGCUCGGCCCGGCCCGGCUCGGCUCGGCACGGCACGGCACGGCCCGGCUCGGCUCGGCUCGGCCCGGCCCGGCUCGGCUCGGCUCGGCCCGGCCCGGCCCGGCUCGGCUCGGCACGGCACGGCCCGGCAUGGCCGGGCUAGGCUGGGCACGGUACGGCACAGCUCGGCGCGGCUGGGCUCGGCUGGGCUCGGCUUGGCUCAGCACGGCCUGGCACGGCUCGGCUCGGCACGAUUCGGCUCGGCAGGGCCGGGCUCGGCUCGGCUCGGCUCGGCUCGGCUCGGCUCGGCACGGCAGGGCUCGGCUCAUGUAAUCUCAUCUCAUCUCGGCUCGGCACGGCCGGGCUCGGCUCAUGUAAUCUCAUCUCAUCUCGGCUCGGCACGGCCGGGCUCGGCACGGCUCGGCUCGGGUGUGUCACCCCCUCCGCGAUUACGGUGACUGCCUGCAGGGCUGUGGGACUGAGGGAUGAUAAACCAGUUUUUUAACUUAGGUUGCCGUUACUUUUACCCCGCGUCAGCAGCGCGGUGUUGAACGUUCGUGUCUGGGAUAGCCCCGCCGAGCUGCUGCACAGACUCCCAGCACGUUCCAGCACCUCGGUGCCUGCCGAGCCGUUUCUGACUGGGACUAGUUCAAACUGUGCGGAGGAAAUGUAUUAUGCUUGGCUGGAAAAUCCCGAAAGUGUACAUAAGGAUGUCACCUUCGCUUCUCUGUGUGUCUGACAAGUGCCGCCUCGUGAGGAGGAGUGAAUUCAUCAGUAGGGACUGGAUGUUUGUGGAUGGUCCAUCUACCUCAUUUUGCCCAAAAGAAACAGCAGUGGUUCCUUGAGCAAGAACCAAGAGAAGCUUUUUCUGUUCAAGAGGAAAUGCCCUGGGCUUGGGACAUGGACAGCAUCGGAGGAUGGUAGUGUUGGGGGUCUUCUUCGAUGAAGGCUCAAGGUCUUCCUUGCAUCUGAACUUCUCAACUUUGUCUUCAGAGCAUGUGCAGCUAUGGUGUUCCUUGGUCUUUCUGGAUACCCUGUUCUGCGUCAGUGUACACUGGAUUCCAUACAGAGUGUUGCUAAGCUCUCCUCAAAUUUUGCUCAGAACGAUCCAUCCAGGCCUGAGAACCAAAAACACCCUCUGCCUCAGGCUGUGCAAAGUAUAUACAGAAGUGAAUCAGGGAGGGGAGAGCAAACUGGGGGUAUCUGACUUCGUUACCUGAAGCUGUAAUUGGACAAUUAACCCCUGAUAUGCAAAUAGACCAAACUUAGGUCUGUCUGAAAAACUCAUGACCACCGUCCAUCUUAGGUGUAGUCUGUGCGAGGCUUUUGACUGCCCAGGGUGCAUAUAUUGAAGGCCUUUAAUAAAUAUUCACUUUAUUAUCUUAAUUCUGUCUA
This 1467-nucleotide long non-coding RNA is filed under the name Lonchura striata (white-rumped munia). RNAcentral describes it as "domestica (Bengalese finch) lncRNA (ENSLSDG00000014686.1)". Lineage: Eukaryota; Metazoa; Chordata; Aves; Passeriformes; Estrildidae. The record is from RNAcentral.